Molecule: ribosomal RNA, 498 nt
Filed under: uncultured bacterium
Lineage: Bacteria
Description: partial 16S ribosomal RNA
Rfam family: Bacterial small subunit ribosomal RNA
Source: RNAcentral
GACGAACGCUGGCGGCAUGCCUAACACAUGCAAGUCGAACGGCGAUUAUUUCGGUAAUCUUAGUGGCGAACGGGUGAGUAACGCGUGGGCAACCUGCCCUCUAGAUGGGGACAACAUCCCGAAAGGGGUGCUAAUACCGAAUGUGACAGCAAUCUCGCAUGGGGAUGCUGUGAAAGAUGGCCUCUAUUUAUAAGCUAUCGCUAGAGGAUGGGCCUGCGUCUGAUUAGCUAGUUGGUGGGGUAACGGCCUACCAAGGCGAUGAUCAGUAGCCGGUCUGAGAGGAUGAACGGCCACAUUGGGAAUGAGACACGGCCAAGACUCCUACGGGAGGCAGCAGUGGGGAGUCUUCCGCAAUGGGCGAAAGCCUGACGGAGCAAUGCCGCGUGAGUGAUGAAGGAAUUCGUUCCGUAAAGCUCUUUUGUUUAUGACGAAUGUGCAGAUUGUGAACAAUGAUCUGUAAUGACGGUAGUGAACGAAUAAGCCACGGCUAACUACGUA